Molecule: ribosomal RNA, 249 nt
Filed under: uncultured bacterium
Lineage: Bacteria
Description: partial 16S ribosomal RNA
Rfam family: Bacterial small subunit ribosomal RNA
Source: RNAcentral
GAUCCUGACUCAGGAUGAACGCUAGCGGCAGGCUUAACACAUGCAAGUCGAGGGGCAGCAUAAUGGAUAGCAAUAUCUAUGGUGGCGACCGGCGCACGGGUGCGUAACGCGUAUGCAACCUACCUUUAACAGGGGGAUAACACUGAGAAAUUGGUACUAAUACCCCAUAACAUCAUGAAAAGCAUCUUUUAUUGGUUUGGUAAAAUUAACCGUACUGGUUUAGGUAGAUGGGCGAUGCGUUGUUAUUAG